Molecule: ribosomal RNA, 796 nt
Filed under: uncultured bacterium
Lineage: Bacteria
Description: bacterial SSU rRNA
Rfam family: Bacterial small subunit ribosomal RNA
Source: RNAcentral
GCUUANCAUGCAGUUCGAGGGGCAACAGGGGUAGCAAUACCUGCUGGCGACCGGCAAACGCCCUGCGGAACACGUACAGAACCUUCCUUUAAGCGGGGGAUAGCCUUCGGAAACGGAGAUUAAUACCCCAUAGUAAUGUUUAAUGGCAUCAUUAGAUAUUUAAAGAUUUAUCACUUAAAGAUGGCUGUGCGGCUGAUUAGGUAGUUGGUGCGGGUAACGGCCCACCAAGCCUGCGAUCAGUAACUGGUGUGAGAGCACGACCAGUCACACGGGCACUGAGACACGGGCCCGACUCCUACGGGAGGCAGCAGUAAGGAAUAUUGGUCAAUGGACGCAAGUCUGAACCAGCCAUGCCGCGUGAAGGAUGAAGGCCCUCUGGGUUGUAAACUUCUUUUAUCUGGGAAGAAAUGCAUCUUUUCUAAGGUGUUUGACGGUACCAGAGGAAUAAGCACCGGCUAACUCCGUGCCAGCAGCCGCGGUAAUACGGAGGGUGCAAGCGUUAUCCGGAUUCACUGGGUUUAAAGGGUGCGUAGGUGGGUUGGUAAGUCAGUGGUGAAAUCUCCGUGCUUAACAUGGAAACUGCCAUUGAUACUACUGGUCUUGAAUUUUCAGAAGGUAAGCGGAAUAUGUCAUGUAGCGGUGAAAUGCUUAGAUAUGACAUAGAACACCAAUUGCGAAGGCAGCUUACUGCAGGAACAUUGACACUGAGGCACGAAANGCGUGGGGAUCAAACAGGAUUAGAUACCCUGGUAGUCCACGCCCCUAAACGAUGGGAUACUCGACAUUUGUGAUACAC